CGACGUCUUCAGGGCGGGGUGCGAUUCCCCACCGGCGGUAGGUCGCCCAGCGACGAGCCCGCGAGCGCCUUGGGCAGCCUGCGAGUUCCUCGCGCAGGUUGCCGAAGGGUCAGCAGAUCCGGUCCGAUGCCGGAGCCGACGGUCAUAGUCCGGAUGAAAGAAGACGGCA
This 169-nucleotide non-coding RNA is filed under the name Pseudoxanthomonas spadix. Its description in RNAcentral is "Pseudoxanthomonas sp. FMN sequence". It matches the Rfam family "FMN riboswitch aptamer (RFN element)". Rfam says of the family: The RFN element is a highly conserved domain that is found frequently in the 5'-untranslated regions of prokaryotic mRNAs that encode for flavin mononucleotide (FMN) biosynthesis and transport proteins. This element is a metabolite-dependent riboswitch that directly binds FMN in the absence of proteins. In Bacillus subtilis, the riboswitch most likely controls gene expression by causing premature transcription termination within the 5' untranslated region of the ribDEAHT operon and precluding access to the ribosome-binding site of ypaA mRNA. Lineage: Bacteria; Pseudomonadati; Pseudomonadota; Gammaproteobacteria; Lysobacterales; Lysobacteraceae. The record is from RNAcentral. RNAcentral also lists the same sequence under 1 other name.